GAUGAACGCUAGCUACAGGCUUAACACAUGCAAGUCGAGGGGAAACGACAUCGAAAGCUUGCUUUUGAUGGGCGUCGACCGGCGCACGGGUGAGUAACGCGUAUCCAACCUGCCCAUCACUUGGGGAUAACCUUGCGAAAGUAAGACUAAUACCCAAUGAUAUCUCUAGAAGACAUCUGAAAGAGAUUAAAGAUUUAUCGGUGAUGGAUGGGGAUGCGUCUGAUUAGCUUGUUGGCGGGGUAACGGCCCACCAAGGCAACGAUCAGUAGGGGUCCUGAGAGGAAGGUCCCCCACAUUGGAACUGAGACACGGUCCAAACUCCUACGGGAGGCAGCAGUGAGGAAUAUUGGUCAAUGGGCGAGAGCCUGAACCAGCCAAGUAGCGUGCAGGAAGACGGCCCUAUGGGUUGUAAACUGCUUUUAUAAGGGAAUAAAGUGAGAGUCGUGACUCUUUUUGUAUGUACCUUAUGAAUAAGGACCGGCUAAUUCCGUG
RNAcentral lists this ribosomal RNA (492 nucleotides) under uncultured bacterium. Its description in RNAcentral is "partial 16S ribosomal RNA". It matches the Rfam family "Bacterial small subunit ribosomal RNA", at positions 28 to 507 of the family's 1533-position model. The record is from RNAcentral.